Molecule: ribosomal RNA, 406 nt
Filed under: uncultured bacterium
Lineage: Bacteria
Description: partial 16S ribosomal RNA
Rfam family: Bacterial small subunit ribosomal RNA
Source: RNAcentral
AUUGAACGCUGGCGGCAGGCCUAACACAUGCAAGUCGAACGAGUGGCUUACGGGUGAGUAAUUUCUGGGAAACUGCCUGAUGGAGGGGGCUAACUACUGGAAACGGUAGCUAAUACCGCAUACCAUCGGAUGUGCCCAGAUGGGAUUAGCUAGUAGGUGGGGUAAAGGCUCACCUAGGCGACGAUCCCUAGCUGGUAUGAGAGGAUGACCAGCCACACUGGAACUGAGACACGGUCCAGACUCCUACGGGAGGCAGCAGUGGGGAAUAUUGCACAAUGGGCGCAAGCCUGAUGCAGCCAUGCCGGGUGUAUGAAGAAGGCCUUCGGGUUGGAAAGUACUUUCAGCGGGGAGGCGUUACCCGCAGAAGAAGCACCGGCUAACUCCGUGCCAGCAGCCGCGGUAAUAC